Trachemys scripta elegans is the source of this 944-nucleotide long non-coding RNA. RefSeq lists it as uncharacterized. The record is from RefSeq and is a predicted model, not a curated record. The transcript is spliced from 2 exons. NCBI's taxonomy places the organism in Eukaryota, Metazoa, Chordata, Testudines, Emydidae.
UGGAGCAUAAGCUUUCGUGGGUGAAUGCCCACUUCAUCAGAUGCAAGACUUAAGUGUUACUGCAAUUCCUUCUGAUAAGGGCAAUUUCUACCAUUUGGGGCAGUGGAGAUACUGUUGCUCCUGACAUUUGAGUCUGUUUCACUGUCUCCCUUGUUCUCAGACAACAGUUACUGAGUUUGACAGCUAUCACUUCUCCCUGAAUUGUUUUAAAGUUAAGCAAUGAAAACUUAGAUUUUAAUGUUUGGGAUUCUGUUUAUCAGUUAGAUAAGAGACCUGACAUUUAUUACCCUUAUCAGCAUAGAUUGCAUGAGGAUUCCCUACACUACAAGUCAAUUACCUAGCUAGUAAAGCAUUAACUUUCUUUUCUUGACUUUACAGGUGCAAACAACCAAAAGAGCGGAUCCCAAUGAGCUACGGAACAUAUUUUUGCAGAGAGCAAAAGCUUAAAGGAACAAAACAAAGGAGAAGUUGAAAUGGAGAGCAGGAGGGACACAGAUCUCUUUAGGACAGUGUUUAUCUAAUUUCCUGGUGAACCUCCAUUUUUUUUUCUUAGAGGAGAUGCAGUUAAAUGUGGAAAGUAUCUGGUUGAAUGAGUCCCUGUCGGUUGAACCCAAAAUGGAACUGAAUCAGCAAGAAGGAAAAAGGAACGUUACCCUUUUCUAUUUAUUUAAAACGCAGUACCAUUUUUUUCCAUUAAAAGUCCAUUUUCUCAAAUCCAUUGCACCUGAUUUAAUGAGAAUGAUGAGAGGGAUACCAGUGAAUUUUUUCUUCUGUAAAAGAUAAAAUUUGGAGGGCUAGGGGAAAUAUUAGUUUAGGUUGAAAACCAAUGUGAUGACAUCUAACUGUAUGUUAAAAAGACAGACUGUGCUUAGCUUAGACAUGUUAUGUUGUGGUGAUAGAAAACAAGAUGUUCAAAUUAAUUAAAUGCUCAGUUUUGAAUUAUC